UGGGGAAUUUUGGACAAUGGGCGAAAGCCUGAUCCAGCAAUGCCGCGUGUGUGAAGAGGGCCUUCGUGUUGUAAAGCACUUUUGUCCGGAAAGAAAUCCUUGGCUCUAAUACAGUCGGGGGAUGACGGUACCGGAAGAAUAAGCACCGGCUAACUACGUGCCAGCAGCCGCGGUAAUACGUAGGGUGCAAGCGUUAAUCGGAAUUACUGGGCGUAAAGCGUGCGCAGGCGGUUUGCUAAGACCGAUGUGAAAUCCCCGGGCUCAACCUGGGAACUGCAUUGGUGACUGGCAGGCUAGAGUAUGGCAGAGGGGGGUAGAAUUCCACGUGUAGCAGUGAAAUGCGUAGAGAUGUGGAGGAAUACCGAUGGCGAAGGCAGCCCCCUGGGCCAAUACUGACGCUCAUGCACGAAAGCGUGGGGAGCAAACAGGAUUAGAUACCCUGGUAGUCCACGCCCUAAACGAUGUCAACUAGUUGUUGGGGAUUCAUUUUCCUUAGUAACGUAGCUAACGCGUGAAGUUGACCGCCUGGGGAGUACGGUCGCAAGAUUAAAACUCAAAUGAAUUG
Molecule: ribosomal RNA, 565 nt
Filed under: uncultured bacterium
Lineage: Bacteria
Description: partial 16S ribosomal RNA
Rfam family: Bacterial small subunit ribosomal RNA
Source: RNAcentral